RNAcentral lists this long non-coding RNA (674 nucleotides) under Homo sapiens (human). RNAcentral describes it as "HSALNT0376388". Lineage: Eukaryota; Metazoa; Chordata; Mammalia; Primates; Hominidae. The record is from RNAcentral.
CACGUGGUUCAGAACCACAUGAUUAUUUAACCAAAGCUCGGGUUGACUACACUUCAACUAACUGGAACCUACUGUAACGAUCUUCAGGAAAAGUUCUCUACAUAUAACCAAUUUAUCUAUGUUAGUGGUACAUUGAGGAGGUGUCCAGAGACAAAGAGACAAGACAGCAAAUGAAUGGACAAGAUGCUGUGAGGGAGUAGGAUUCAGAAGAAUGUCCCAGAGCACAACACAGCCUGGAAUUCACAGAAAUACUGGGGAAAAGGCACAGUGGACUUCCCACUUUCCGUGGAUGGGGUCUCGACCCAUUUUAAGAGGCUAUUAAAGGAAAAAUUGACUGCAGGAGGCAGGUCAACUUGGAAACAUGGGAUAUAUUUUUUUAAAUUUUAGGCAUGGAGAUAUGGAAGGAUGCAUAGAGGCCUGGUAUAUAACUAAGAGCAGGGACUCUGGAGUCCGAGGGUCUGUGUUGGAAUCCCAACUUUGCCACUUAUAACCAUGUACUUUUGCGCAAGUUAUUAAAGCCUCUGAGACUCCAUUUCCUUCUCUGUAAAUAGGGAAAUAAUAAUACCUCAUAGGGUUGUCAAGAGGAGUAAAUGAAGCACAAUUGUAAAGUGGAUGGACAGGAGCUUAGUGUAUACAAAUUGCUGUACAAUAGCUUGUUAAAUAAUAUAAAUAAA